Molecule: ribosomal RNA, 322 nt
Filed under: uncultured eukaryote
Lineage: Eukaryota
Description: partial 18S ribosomal RNA
Rfam family: Eukaryotic small subunit ribosomal RNA
Source: RNAcentral
CCCUUAGAUGUUCUGGGCCGCACGUGUGCUACACUGAGUGGAUCAGCGGGUCAGGUUGCGCGAAAGUGUUUCCUAAUCUUGAAAUCCGCUCGUGAUGGGGAUUGACGGUUGCAAUUUUCCGUCAUGAACGAGGAAUACCUUGUAAGCGCGGGUCAUCAUCCCGCGCUGAAUACGUCCCUGCCCUUUGUACACACCGCCCGUCGCUCCUACCGAUUGAGUGGUCCGGUGAGGCUUUGGGAUCUGAGCGGAAAGAGCGUUUCGCUGUUUCUGCUCGGAAAACUCAGUCGAACCUUAUCAUUUAGAGGAAGGAGAAGUCGUAACA